AGCGAACGCUGGCGGCAGGCUUAACACAUGCAAGUCGAGCGGGCACUUUCGGGUGUCAGCGGCGGACGGGUGAGUAACGCGUGGGAACGUGCCCUCUGGUUCGGAAUAACUCAGGGAAACUUGAGCUAAUACCGGAUACGCCCUUUUGGGGAAAGGCUUGCUGCCGGAGGAUCGGCCCGCGUCUGAUUAGCUAGUUGGUGAGGUAACGGCUCACCAAGGCGACGAUCAGGAGCUGGUCUGAGAGGAUGAUCAGCCACACUGGGACUGAGACACGGCCCAGACUCCUACGGGAGGCAGCAGUGGGGAAUAUUGGACAAUGGGCGCAAGCCUGAUCCAGCCAUGCCGCGUGAGUGAUGAAGGCCUUAGGGUUGUAAAGCUCUUUUAUCCGGGACGAUAAUGACGGUACCGGAGGAAUAAGCCCCGGCUAACUUCGUG
RNAcentral lists this ribosomal RNA (435 nucleotides) under uncultured bacterium. Its description in RNAcentral is "partial 16S ribosomal RNA". It matches the Rfam family "Bacterial small subunit ribosomal RNA", at positions 29 to 507 of the family's 1533-position model. The record is from RNAcentral.